UUGCUUUGGCAGUACAGAUACUACAGUUGGAACGAUACAGCCAAGAUUAGCAUGGCCCCUGUAGGUAGACGAUCGGUAUACCCCAGAAGAUCCGUAUACCCUU
Molecule: small nuclear RNA, 103 nt
Organism: Lampris incognitus (smalleye Pacific opah)
Lineage: Eukaryota; Metazoa; Chordata; Actinopteri; Lampriformes; Lampridae
Source: RefSeq, a predicted model, not a curated record